Long non-coding RNA from Tupaia belangeri chinensis (Chinese tree shrew), 610 nucleotides. RefSeq lists it as uncharacterized. The transcript is spliced from 2 exons. Lineage: Eukaryota; Metazoa; Chordata; Mammalia; Scandentia; Tupaiidae. The record is from RefSeq and is a predicted model, not a curated record.
ACUUCUAACACUGCUCUAUAUUCUAAAUGACUGUAGGUACCAACUGCAAGCAUUUCUGUGGAGGGUAAUCCUGCUCUUAAUCGUGUAAGAUGGACCCAAUCUGGAAGAGAGAUUGCCGUGGGUGAUUCCGAAGGACAGAUUGUUAUAUACGAUGUGGGAGAGCAGAUUGCUGUCCCCCGCAAUGACGAAUGGGCACGGUUCGGCCGGACACUCGCAGAAAUUAAUGCAAACCGAGCUGAUGCAGAGGAGGAAGCUGCCGCCCGAAUACCUGCCUAGUUCCUGAAAAGAGGAGGGUAGCCUUAAUGGAUUUGGGGAAGACUCUUAAGUAGAUCCUAAGACCAUUUGCAUGCUUCUGUCUAAAUGAUAACUAAAGGAAACUUCGUGGAUUAAACUGUGGAUGUAAUGCAGCAAAGCAAACCUCACAAUGUUCCUUUUUAUAUAACGAGCAUCUUGUUUUGGAUUUGUGUCAUUUUUAAUACAGCUGAUUAACUUUACAGAGUGCAGCUUUUCUGAAUUCUAAUACACAGGUGUAUAUUUGGUAUUAGUUACUCUUUUGAAUUCUUUUCAAACACUAUAUACAGUUAUUUCUAAAGCACAGAUUAAAUAAGUU